Molecule: unclassified non-coding RNA, 312 nt
Organism: Erinaceus europaeus (western European hedgehog)
Lineage: Eukaryota; Metazoa; Chordata; Mammalia; Eulipotyphla; Erinaceidae
Gene: 7SK
Rfam family: 7SK RNA
About the family: 7SK was discovered as an abundant small nuclear RNA in the mid-70s but a possible function has only recently been suggested. Two independent studies have found that 7SK RNA binds the CDK9/cyclin T complex (known as elongation factor P-TEFb).
Source: Ensembl
GGAUGUGAGGGUGAUCUAUCACCCCAUUGAUCGCCAGGGUUGAUUCAGCUGAUCUGGCUGGCUAGGUGGGUGUCCCCUUCCUCUCUCACUGCUCCAUGUGCGUCCCUCCCGAAGCUGCAUUGAAGAGGACAGCUUUCCCCCGAAUAGAGACAGACCAGUCUUCUGACCAGUCUUUAGUUGAGGGUAUACGAGUAGCUGCGCUUCCCUACUAGAACCUUCAAACAAGCUCUCAAGGAAUAUAUCUAAAAUAGAUCUACUAGCUUUUUCCAAAAUGGAGACCGCCAAAUCUCCAUCCACAACAUUCUUGCCUUU